Molecule: small nuclear RNA, 105 nt
Organism: Sciurus vulgaris (Eurasian red squirrel)
Lineage: Eukaryota; Metazoa; Chordata; Mammalia; Rodentia; Sciuridae
Source: Ensembl
CUGUUCACUAUGGCAGCAUGUAUCCUAACACUGGGAUGAUACAGAGGAUUAGCAUGGACAUUGUGCAAUGAUGACAUGCAAAUUUAUGAAGCAAUCCACAUUGAA